This 782-nucleotide long non-coding RNA is filed under the name Ananas comosus (pineapple). RNAcentral's name for it is "long non-coding RNA (ACOM_LNC043866)". The record is from RNAcentral. Lineage: Eukaryota; Viridiplantae; Streptophyta; Magnoliopsida; Poales; Bromeliaceae.
GGGUUCGGGCCGCCAACAGACCACCGAACGGACAGAGUCUCCCCUGUACGUUCAAGGGGUCACAAUCAAUACAAUACACGAGAUUCCAACCAAGAAUAGUAUUCAAGCAAGGAUUGCAUAAGGAAACAUCAAGAACAUAAAUACAACUAUACUGUUACAAGCAUUCACAUACAUUUAUUUUACAUUCCAUUUUUCACUUUCAAAUAUAAUCAACAUUACUACAAAUUAUUACAAUUUUGUUCUUUUCAUUUCCACCCCUAAGCUAGACCACUUCGGGGUACCACUAUCUCUGGUCACAAUAGUAGGGCGCUAUCUACAGAGCUACGCCCUCUCCUCGUGCCGCCACGCCGCUCGCGUGUAACCUGAAAUCCCCCAAAACAACGUGGGGUGAGAACUAUAUCCAUAGUUCCCAGCGGGUACGGUCACCCAAGGGAGAUGCUCAACCUACCAGGUCCAAAGGAGGCACUGCAAUCAUGUUAGCCCAAUAGAUAUCCACAAAUAUUUAUACAAACAAUAAAUAAAUGUGUAUGCCUCAAGAAAUGCAAUAUGCAAAUGCAAAUCAUGUAAUCAACCAAGUAGAUCACCCGAUACUACUUUCUAUCUCACUAUCCAUAGCUUUUCCUCAAUUAUAUAUCUUGCCAUUUUACAUCAUUCGUCAUUUUACUCCUAAGGUUUCCUCUACCUUAGCCAAGCUAACCACCCGACUCGGCCUCAAGUCAAUCAUCUGCGGAACCGCGUACAGCUAGGCUCGAGGUGAAGGACGUCUCACAUACACUUCAGCC